ACUGUAGAGGUGGAGGCCCUCUUCAGUUCUGGAGUUCGUCUUAUCUCCCAACUCUGAUGCUCCUUCCCUUGGUUUCUGGGCUCCCUUGAACUCCCCUAGCUCCGUGCUCACGGCCAUCUCAGGGUCUCCCCUGCUUGCAGCUGCACUUGGUACAGCCUGUGCCAGCCCCUGAGGGACCGGCUGCAGCUUCACUGGCAAACAGGCGGGCAAGGGGCACAGGGCUGCUGGCCGGAGCUGCCUGCACUCUGCAGGAGCUGUUCACCCGCUCACUGGCUGAGAGCGAGCUCCGUAGUGCCCCGUAUGAGUUCCCCGAGGAGAGCCCCAUUGAACAGCUGGAGGAGCGGCGGCAGCGGCUGGAGCGGCAGAUCAGCCAGGAUGUCAAGCUGGAGCCAGACAUCCUGCUUCGGGCCAAGCAAGAUUUCCUGAAGACGGACAGUGACUCGGACCUACAGCUCUACAAGGAACAGGGUGAGGGGCAGGGUGACCGGAGCCUGCGGGAGCGUGAUGUGCUGGAACGGGAGUUUCAGCGGGUCACCAUCUCUGGGGAGGA
This 550-nucleotide small RNA is filed under the name Pan troglodytes (chimpanzee). RNAcentral's name for it is "processed transcript". Lineage: Eukaryota; Metazoa; Chordata; Mammalia; Primates; Hominidae. The record is from RNAcentral.